RNAcentral lists this ribosomal RNA (1473 nucleotides) under metagenome. RNAcentral's name for it is "bacterial SSU rRNA". It matches the Rfam family "Bacterial small subunit ribosomal RNA". The record is from RNAcentral.
AGAGUUUGAUCCUGGCUCAGGAUGAACGCUAGCGGCAGGCCUAACACAUGCAAGUCGAGGGGUAAGGCUCUUUCGAGAGUACACGACCGGCGCACGGGUGAGUAUCGCGUAUGCAACCUACCUCAAACAGGGAGAUAGCCCAGAGAAAUUUGGAUUAAUAUCCCAUAAUAUCUUGGAUUCGCAUGUUUCCAAGAUUAAAGCUCCGGCGGUUUGAGAUGGGCAUGCGUGUCAUUAGCUUGUUGGUGAGGUAACGGCUCACCAAGGCUGCGAUGACUAGGGGGUCUUAAAGGAUGGUCCCCCACACUGGUACUGAGACACGGACCAGACUCCUACGGGAGGCAGCAGUGAGGAAUAUUGGGCAAUGGACGCAAGUCUGACCCAGCCAUGCCGCGUGCAGGAUUGACGGCUCUAGUAGUUGUAAACUGCUUUUCUGCAGGAAGAAACCCUCGGACGUGUCCGAGGUUGCCGGUACUGCAGGAAUAAGCAUCGGCUAACUCCGUGCAGCCGCGGUAAUACGGAGGAUGCAAGCGUUAUCCGGAUUCAUUAGGUUUAAAGGGUGCGUAGGCGGAACAAUAAGUCAGUGGUGAAAUCUUGCCGCUCAACGGUAAAAUUGCCAUUGAAACUGUUGUUCUUGAGUAUAGUUGAGGUGGGCGGAACGUGUAGUGUAGCGGUGAAAUGCUUAGAUAUUACACAGAACACCGAUUGCGAAGGCAGCUCACUAAACUAUCACUGACGCUGAUGCACGAAGGCGUGGGGAGCGAACAGGAUUAGAUACCCUGGUAGUCCACGCUGUAAACGAUGAUCACUCGCUGUUGGCAAUACAUCGUCAGCGGCUGAGCUAAAGUAUUAAGUGAUCCACCUGGGGAGUACGUCGGCAACGAUGAAACUCAAAGGAAUUGACGGGGGCCGCACAAGCGGAGGAACAUGUGGUUUAAUUCGAUGAUACGCGAGGAACCUUACCUGGGCUUAAAUGCAGAACGAUUUACCGGGAAACUGGUAUUCCCUUCGGGGCGGACUGCAAGGUGCUGCAUGGUUGUCGUCAGCUCGUGCCGUGAGGUGUCGGGUUAAGUCCCAUAACGAGCGCAACCCUUAUCGUUAGUUGCCAGCGGGUAAUGCCGGGGACUCUAACGAGACUGCCAUCGUAAGGUGGAGGAAGGUGGGGAUGACGUCAAAUCAGCACGGCCCUUAUGUCCGGGGCUACACACGUGUUACAAUGGCCAGUACAAAGGGCAGCUACCUGGCGACAGGAUGCUAAUCUCAAAAACUGGUCUCAGUUCGGAUCGUAGUCUGCAGUUCGACUGCGUGAAGCUGGAUUCGCUAGUAAUCGUAUAUCAGCAAUGAUACGGUGAAUACGUUCCCGGGCCUUGUACACACCGCCCGCCAAGCCAUGGAAGCCGGGGGUGCCUGAAGUCCGUAACCGUAAGGAGCGGCCUAGGGUAAAACUGGUGACUGGGGCUAAGUCGUAACAAGGUA